Syngnathus typhle (broad-nosed pipefish) is the source of this 2126-nucleotide long non-coding RNA. RefSeq lists it as uncharacterized. NCBI's taxonomy places the organism in Eukaryota, Metazoa, Chordata, Actinopteri, Syngnathiformes, Syngnathidae. The record is from RefSeq and is a predicted model, not a curated record. The transcript has 3 exons.
AAUCAAAUUAGUCAAGUGUGUAAAUGUGAGUUUCACCGAUGAUGUGACAAUCACUCGUGUCCAUGAGAAAACAGCUGCUGGUGGGAUUACUUUACUCAUGACUCCUUUGCGGUAGGGCAAGGGGGUCAGAGGAAUCGGGACACAAUGGUUUUCUAAAUCCCGGCGAUGAUCCGAGAGGAAAUAUACAGACUGUGCAAUGUGAAAUAUCUAUCCGUCAUUGGUUAUCUAAGAGAGACGCAAGCAAACGAGUUUUUCUUACUGUCUGCUUCCUAGCGCUCUGUGGGUCACAUGAGCGGGACUGGCAGUUGCUGAGUCAACAUCACAAGUGGAACACUGGCCUCGAAGACACCACGCAAAGACUGUUUGUUACGUAGACUGUUGAGUAAUGCUCUCUAAUCAACUGUGUCUGGAAUUAGGCUUCAUACAUUCUCAGACAGUCUCAUUGGUCAGGUUGAUAAGCGGAUCGUAAUCUGCUUGCAUAUCGUUCAUAUCGGAUCAAUCUUUCGGUGCCAUUCCAUUAUACACGUCACAACUGUCGCUCAUAUUACAACUGAGCCGAUGAAUUAAAUUGAUGGAUCCUCCAUUAUUGUCACAAUUUCAUAUGACAAUCGCUGUACAAACAAAAAAUAAUAGUUGCAAAUUUGCAGGUCUCAGUAAAUAGGUCUUUCACAAAUUGUGAUCCUAAGUAAUCACAUUUGGAAAACAGCUCUUUAAAUAUUUGAUUGACUAGCCUGAGGUGUCAUUAGACAAUUGGAAUGAUUCCAGAAAUAUUUGUCUUUCAAAGAACUCUGCUGCAGUUGAUGCAAUCCUUGCAAAAAAACAAACAAACCCUACUUGAUUUCUGGUCGCCAAGUAUAUCCCGUUGGCUGGGUUUAGAGAUAUCACACGGCACACACUUGUCUGGUCUCAACAGACAAAGAUUCAAAUCUGGUUAUGUUCCUUCUGAGUGGCUUUAUUUGUGCUAGGCAUUGGCAUAAACACGGUGCAUCAUCCAAGACUAUAUGUACGAAAAUGCUUCCGCGACGACUUCCGCGACAUGUGAUAGCAGUUAAGGGGAAAAAAAUAACUCUGUUCCUCAACAUUCAAUCAGACGUGUGCCUUCGACGCGACCUUCUGAUGUUACAUAUUGCAAAGGGCUAUAGAUAGAUACCAUCGAACCAUUCAGACUUGAUUCAGAAAAAAUGACUAAAUGUGUGGGUGUGUUUCGUUCAGUCGUCUCGACCGACAGUCAUUCAUAGAGUCUACUUCACACUUGUCGGUUGUAUUGUUGUCUGUGGGUGUGCAAGUGUUGAGUUUGAAAAGGGUAUUUUUUUUGCGUGUGUUCGGGUCAAGGGGGUGCGAGAUAUUUCUAUUCCUGGUACCUUUACAGGCCACAUCAUCUAUGCGCCUUUGAAGAGUCCAUUGUUAGUCGUCAGGCGGCGAGUCGCAAAGACCUUUAGGCUACAAAUGGUGAUUAAUCUUUUCCACAUGCUAAUUUGCUACUGAUGUGUUUUCAAAAUUGUGCUUUUGAGAAAUUUGGUCAAAACAAUGACAACAUUUGUGAGGUUUUCAGAAAGGUUCAGAGUAUUAUGUUCAUGUGUGUGUAUCAGUUUAUGGCUUCAUCUCGAUGUUUGCCUAUCCUGUCUCUCAUACGUCAAUUUUAAUGUUACUUGUGUAGAGCAAAUAGAGCUAAUGGCUCAGCGGGUAAAUAGUGUGUUUUUAUGCUGCUACAGUCUGCAGAUGCAAAACAACCAUACCUUUAGCACUCAUCGUGUAAUCUACUGCUGUGAAACCUUUUAUUUAAUCAGCUUUAAUGACAUGCAGAAGUAUGCAGAAACUAAAUCAACAUCAGUUCAUUCUACCUCUCCUUUUGAAGUGACGUUCACUCACAUGUGCAGCACGUGACAUACACUUGAUCGGGACAUUGAUCUCAGAUUUCUAUCAUGGGAUGACUGCCACCGAGGUCCGUAAACCACGUGACAGCUGCAACCAAUCUCAAACGGUGAUACUUGUUUGUUUAAAGCGACGCAUCGGGGAAGGUAUGUGGUGAAACAGAGCUGGGAGGGACACAAAAGGUUGUGCGUGCUGACAAUGCAUUUUGAAAAGAUCACUCACCGAAGAUCUCCCCAUUCUUGGCAUACUCUGUG